AGUGAACGCUGGCGGUAGGCCUAACACAUGCAAGUCGAACGGCAGCACAGUAAGAGCUUGCUCUUACGGGUGGCGAGUGGCGGACGGGUGAGGAAUACAUCGGAAUCUACUUUUUCGUGGGGGAUAACGUAGGGAAACUUACGCUAAUACCGCAUACGACCUACGGGUGAAAGCAGGGGAGCUUCGGACCUUGCGCGAGUGAAUGAGCCGAUGUCGGAUUAGCUAGUUGGCGGGGUAAAGGCCCACCAAGGCGACGAUCCGUAGCUGGUCUGAGAGGACGAUCAGCCACACUGGAACUGAGACACGGUCCAGACUCCUACGGGAGGCAGCAGUGGGGAAUAUUGGACAAUGGGCGCAAGCCUGAUCCAGCCAUCCCGCGUGGGUGAAGAAGGCCUUCGGGUUGUAAAGCCCUUUUGUUGGGAAAGAAAAGCAGCAGGUUAAUACCCCGCUGUUCUGACGGUACCCAAAGAAUAAGCACCGGCUAACUUCGUG
This 492-nucleotide ribosomal RNA is filed under the name uncultured bacterium. RNAcentral describes it as "partial 16S ribosomal RNA". It matches the Rfam family "Bacterial small subunit ribosomal RNA", at positions 29 to 507 of the family's 1533-position model. The record is from RNAcentral.